RNAcentral lists this ribosomal RNA (446 nucleotides) under uncultured bacterium. Its description in RNAcentral is "partial 16S ribosomal RNA". It matches the Rfam family "Bacterial small subunit ribosomal RNA", at positions 338 to 795 of the family's 1533-position model. The record is from RNAcentral.
CCUACGGGGGACAGCAGUCGAGAAUCAUUCACAAUGGGGGAAACCCUGAUGGUGCGACGCCGCGUGGGGGAAUGCAGGUCUUCGGAUUGUAAACCCCUGUCAUGUGGGAGCAAAUUAAAAAGAUAGUACCACAAGAGGAAGAGACGGCUAACUCUGUGCCAGCAGCCGCGGUAAUACAGAGGUCUCAAGCGUUGUUCGGAAUCACUGGGCGUAAGGCGUGCGUAGGCUGUUUCGUAAGUCGUGUGUGAAAGGCGCGGGCUCAACCCGCGGACGGCACAUGAUACUGCGAGACUAGAGUAAUGGAGGGGGAACCGGAAUUCUCGGUGUAGCAGUGAAAUGCGUAGAUAUCGAGAGGAACACUCGUGGCGAAGGCGGGUUCCUGGACAUUAACUGACGCUGAGGCACGAAGGCCAGGGGAGCGAAAGGGAUUAGAUACCCGUGUAGUC